Lates calcarifer (barramundi perch) is the source of this 1217-nucleotide long non-coding RNA. RefSeq lists it as uncharacterized. The transcript is spliced from 5 exons. The record is from RefSeq and is a predicted model, not a curated record. NCBI's taxonomy places the organism in Eukaryota, Metazoa, Chordata, Actinopteri, Centropomidae.
GCGGCAGGAAGUGGUUGUGUAGACGGAGAGACGCCCUCGCAGGUUUUCGAAACGGCGACGGUUUGCGUUGUUUACGGUUGUUCGAAUCCAUAAACCUGAGUAAACACGUUAAACUUUUAUCGAGUACCACAGGUUGGUUUUCACAGCGAAGAAAAUGAAAGAAGCUGACCAAAAACGCCACUUGGUGUCGGAUAAGCCUCGUGAGUGACCACCUCGUUAAAGCUGUGGAUGCAGACAGAGGAUGAGAAGCUGAUGGGUCUGCAGCACGAGGACUCCUUCUGAUUGGAAGGCUUUCUCUGACUGAAUCCCAGCUGACCACACAGCCUCACCUGAUAGGACCUCACCUGAUGGGACUGUCAGCUGUGACCAGUUUGUAAGAUAAAGUUCCCACGCUGCAGAGACAGAUGAGUUAAUCUGAGCCUGAGAGCUGGAGACGAUGGAUUCUGCCUCAUCAAGCAGGGAGAUGAUGUUACACCAAACAGGAGCCAUGUUUACUUCCUCUCCUCCAGGACUCAGACUUCAGCUCAUAAAGAACAACAUGAAGAUAUCUGCAGAAGAUGAGUGUCUUCAGCUGCUGUCGUCUUCUCCUCCCGCAGAGACAAGAACACGUGUGAAUCACAGAGACUGAUCAAUAAAUCUAUUUUUCCUUUCCUAAGCUAUCUGCAUUCAUUUUUGAUAUCUAUACUAUAUUUUUUGAUCAAUUUUGGUGCCUUACUAUACUACGACUUUUUUUUUAUGCUUUUUAAUGCCUUACUAUACUAUGGCAUUUUUUUGAUGCCUAUACUAUGACUUUUUUCGAUGGUUUUUGACGCUUUUAACAUUUUUUGAUGUUUUUUCAUGCCUUACUGUACCAUGACAUUUUUUGAAGGUUUUUUAAGCCUUUCCGUACUAUAACAUUUUUUGAUUAACACUACUACUACACACACCUUACUAUACUGUGAUGCCAUCUUACCUUUGUUGUCCAGAGACACACACUCACACUUCCACGCAGUGUUUGUGAGUUUAGUUAGAUUUUGUGUUUCAUUUUAGUAUUUUCCUUUCAAACAGAGCAAUAUUAGUACUCAAAUCCCAUCUAUUACUGGCAUACACAGUCCUGUUUAUAUUGUUCAUAUUGUUUAUAAUUUUUACAUUGUUAAAUAUUAUCUUAUUUCAUAUUUUCUUAAUAUUAUACCUUUUUUUUUGCUGCUGCAACACUGAAUUUUCAGAGGAUUAUCUUA